This 389-nucleotide unclassified non-coding RNA is filed under the name Fusarium neocosmosporiellum. RNAcentral describes it as "sequence contains 18S rRNA gene, ITS1, 5.8S rRNA gene, ITS2, 28S rRNA gene". The stretch from base 122 to 275 matches the Rfam family "5.8S ribosomal RNA". Lineage: Eukaryota; Fungi; Ascomycota; Sordariomycetes; Hypocreales; Nectriaceae. The record is from RNAcentral.
AACUUACCUACAACGUUGCUUCGGCGGGAACAGACGGCCCCGUAAAAUGGGCCGCCCCCGCCAGAGGACCCCUAACUCUGUUUUUAUAAUGUUUUUCUGAGUAAACAAGCAAAUAAAUUAAAACUUUCAACAACGGAUCUCUUGGCUCUGGCAUCGAUGAAGAACGCAGCGAAAUGCGAUAAGUAAUGUGAAUUGCAGAAUUCAGUGAAUCAUCGAAUCUUUGAACGCACAUUGCGCCCGCCAGUAUUCUGGCGGGCAUGCCUGUUCGAGCGUCAUUACAACCCUCAGGCCUCCGGGCCUGGCGUUGGGGAUCGGCGGAGCCCCCUAGUAGCUAACACCUCGCAACUGGAGAGCGGCGCGGCCACGCCGUAAAACACCCAACUUCUGAA